This 460-nucleotide ribosomal RNA is filed under the name uncultured bacterium. Its description in RNAcentral is "partial 16S ribosomal RNA". It matches the Rfam family "Bacterial small subunit ribosomal RNA", at positions 338 to 795 of the family's 1533-position model. The record is from RNAcentral.
CCUACGGGCGGCAGCAGUGAGGAAUAUUGGUCAAUGGACGAGAGUCUGAACCAGCCAAGUAGCGUGAAGGAUGACUGCCCUAUGGGUUGUAAACUUCUUUUAUAUGGGAAUAAAACGUUCCACGUGUGGGAUUUUGUAUGUACCAUAUGAAUAAGGAUCGGCUAACUCCGUGCCAGCAGCCGCGGUAAUACGGAGGAUCCGAGCGUUAUCCGGAUUUAUUGGGUUUAAAGGGAGCGUAGGUGGAUUGUUAAGUCAGUUGUGAAAGUUUGCGGCUCAACCGUAAAAUUGCAGUUGAAACUGGCAGUCUUGAGUACAGUAGAGGUGGGCGGAAUUCGUGGUGUAGCGGUGAAAUGCUUAGAUAGCACGAAGAACUCCGAUUGCGAAGGCAGUUCACUGGACUGCAACUGACACUGAGGCUCGAAAGUGUGGGUAUCAAACAGGAUUAGAUAUCCCAGUAGUC